GGUGAUUGAUGACUUUCUGUUAUCCAUUUCUUAUGCUUUUUAUUUUUAUCUAUUAUUGUGAUCAUUCUCGUUCUCGGUUGUCCUCUACUUUAAAAUUUCACAGCUAUGUUUGAUACAAAUAUUUAUCUACUUAAGUUAUGAUUUAAAGUAACAAUUAAAGAAUUAUGAGGGUUAAUCGCAUCCAACAUCUAAAUUUUCAAAUAAGUGGCAUUUUAAAAUUAUUUUUAGUAUGGGGGGGGGGGGGGGGGGGGGUUUUUUUUAACACUUUUUUUUGACCUACAACUAAUCUAAGGGUUGAGAUUAAUUCUAGAUCCAUGUGCAAACAUUUAUGUGAGUAAGUAGGUAAAGGUAAAACGGUAGAGGAAAAUGACAAACUGGAACCUCAAUUAAAAUGAAAAAGAUGAAAUAUCAAAUCAAAUCUCUUGAAUGAAUGAGAGGCCGAGAGACAGAGGACAUGACUAAGUGGGAAAUACAUGAAUAAUAAUUUAACAUGAAUGUCUCAUAAACAAUAAACAAUUACAUAGAUUUAUAAAUUAUACAUAAAAUAGACGAGUAAACGUUGGAAGAGGUAAUAUAUAAGAGAAGUUGGUUUAUUACCUAUAAUAAGAUUAAGAUGAAUAAUCUUGAUCUUUCCACUCCAUUCAUUUUCUAGAACAACACAUUUUGAAAGAAAAGAUAGAGAUACUAUAUUUUAACAAAUAGCAAACAAUGAUUUAUGCAAGGGAGGAAAAUGUCUUUUAAAAAUUAGAGGGGUCUGGAUGGUCCAAUACGAAGAUUGGAAGAGGGCUGAGUGAAAUUUUCCCACCUAAUAAUGGUAGCAUUUUUAAUUAACAAACUAAUGAUAAUAGAAGAACAAGUACAAAAGAAUACAUACCUAUAUUAGGAUCAGAUUGCUUGGCUGGAAGAGGAUUAGAUUGCUCGUUUGAGUCUUUGUUGCACAUAAACUGAUUAAUUGUUGUGUUUUGUCAGCAUUUUCCUCUUGACAUUAGGCAAUCGUGGAAUAUGUCUUUGUCCAGCUUAUGUAUAGCCUCAUGCAGUUUCCAUAAAACAUAAUCCAUGGCCUUUUUGUUUUGAACUGAUUGGUUAAAGGUAUCUUCGAAGAGUGGAAGGGUGAUGCUGUUUUUGCAUCCUAAAUUAUUGAAGUGCGCCACAUUUGUUGUUGACACUAAGCGUCCAUGGUGCUGAACACCAUCUCGGGCACAAAUAAAAGGUAUAUAUGAGAUUUUAUUUGGGGGUGAAUAGUCAGGAAGGGGACUGCAAUCAAAUAACAAUGUAUAUUGUGCAUCCUUUUGGGUGUAGCUAAAAAGGUAGAGUCCAAUGUGACAUUGGUAAAAGUCUUGGGGAAAAUGCUAUUGUGCAAUUUUAAUAUAUAUAUGACAACAAUUGUAAGAAUUCAGGAAUCCUGAUAGUCACCAUACCAAAUUCACAGUUAAGCUUCGGAGAUGGGUGGCCACAGUAAUCGGGUUGACUAAUGUGCCAGUAUGGAAAAGUUACAUUGUAGUUAAAAUAAUUGUGGCAAGAAAAAGGUUCACAUUCUGUGUCUGUUUAAAUAUAAUUGGCCAUAUUUGUGGGAAAGAGAAAGGAAUCAACGAAAAGUAAAGCGUCAUGCGGCAAAAAUAGCAGGGAUGCAGAGAAGGAAGGAAGGAGGCCAUGAUCAAUGGAGGUUUGGUGUAAAGAGAAAAUGAACCCUUUUAGGAGAAUUUUCUUUGGCUCCUAUUUUUCUUAGAAACUGGCUUAUUAUUUUUGCUGCUUGUCCUGCCUCGAGAAUGGUUGUCUCAUUGAUAUAAAAGGUGGUACCCCAGCUUCUC
Molecule: long non-coding RNA, 1808 nt
Filed under: Lotus japonicus
Lineage: Eukaryota; Viridiplantae; Streptophyta; Magnoliopsida; Fabales; Fabaceae
Description: long non-coding RNA (LJAP_LNC000851)
Source: RNAcentral